RNAcentral lists this ribosomal RNA (460 nucleotides) under uncultured bacterium. RNAcentral's name for it is "partial 16S ribosomal RNA". It matches the Rfam family "Bacterial small subunit ribosomal RNA", at positions 338 to 795 of the family's 1533-position model. The record is from RNAcentral.
CCUACGGGAGGCAGCAGUGAGGAAUAUUGGUCAAUGGGCGGAAGCCUGAACCAGCCAAGUCGCGUGCAGGAUGACGGCCCUACGUGUUGUAAACUGCUUUUAUACGGGAAUAACGCGCCUUACGUGUAGGGCUUUGCAUGUACCGUAUGAAUAAGGACCGGCUAAUUCCGUGCCAGCAGCCGCGGUAAUACGGAAGGUCCGGGCGUUAUCCGGAUUUAUUGGGUUUAAAGGGAGCGUAGGCCGCAUGUCAAGCGUGCUGUGAAAUGUCCGGGCUCAACCCCGGCCUGGCAGCGCGAACUGGCGGGCUGGAGUCGGAGGAAAGCAGGCGGAAUGCGGGGUGUAGCGGUGAAAUGCUUAGAUAUGGCGCAGAACCCCGAUUGCGAAGGCAGCUUGCUGCAGCGGAACUGACGCUGAUGCUCGAAAGCGCGGGUAUCGAACAGGAUUAGAUACCCGAGUAGUC